Molecule: ribosomal RNA, 465 nt
Filed under: Vreelandella stevensii
Lineage: Bacteria; Pseudomonadati; Pseudomonadota; Gammaproteobacteria; Oceanospirillales; Halomonadaceae
Description: partial 16S ribosomal RNA
Rfam family: Bacterial small subunit ribosomal RNA
Source: RNAcentral
CCUACGGGAGGCUGCAGUGGGGAAUAUUGGACAAUGGGGGCAACCCUGAUCCGGCCAUGCCGCGUGUGUGAAGAAGGCCCUCGGGUUGUAAAGCACUUUCAGUGAGGAAGAACGCCUGGUGGUUAAUACCCAUCAGGAAAGACAUCACUCACAGAAGAAGCACCGGCUAACUCCGUGCCAGCAGCCGCGGUAAUACGGAGGGUGCGAGCGUUAAUCGGAAUUACUGGGCGUAAAGCGCGCGUAGGUGGCUUGAUAAGCCGGUUGUGAAAGCCCCGGGCUCAACCUGGGAACGGCAUCCGGAACUGUCAAGCUAGAGUGCAGGAGAGGAAGGUAGAAUUCCCGGUGUAGCGGUGAAAUGCGUAGAGAUCGGGAGGAAUACCAGUGGCGAAGGCGGCCUUCUGGACUGACACUGACACUGAGGUGCGAAAGCGUGGGUAGCAAACAGGAUUAGAUACCCGUGUAGUC